UAUGUACUCCUGUAUACUCGCUCAUAUUCAACUUGUAAUCUGCCUAUAUAUGGCGUGUGAAUUAUGGAAUGUAAUCAAGUCUUUCAAUCAUAUAAUCAUUGUUCUAUAUGGUAUCAGAGCUGCUUAGCUCUUAAGAGUCUCAAUUUCGAUCCAAUUUUACUCCCCUCACUCAAAUCUCAAUCGCCAUGUCAAGUGUUACGGAGGUCACAACACACACACACACACACACACACACACUUUCCAAUUAAGCUCACAACCAACAAUUUUCCCGUCUGGAGGAAGCAGAUCGUCGCAACCCUAACUGGGUUAGGUCUUGAAGGUUACCUUGAUGGCUCGACAACAGCCCCAGCCAAAAACCUAACAACAGACAACACAUCAAAAACAAAUCCGCAAUAUACCCUCUGGUAUCGACAAGAUCAAAUCAUUCUUGGAGCCUUAUUGGGGAGCUGCACAAAAACCAUCCAACCAAUUGUCUCUUCGGCUGAAACAGAACAAGAAGCAUUCAAAUGUCUCACAGAUAGCUAUGCAAGCAUCUCCUGCUCUCGCAUUAUUUCUCUAAAAUCUCGAAUGGCAAACAAUCCAAGAGGUACCCGAUCUAUCACUGAGUUUCUACAUGAUAUGAAGAAUAUUGAAGAUGACCUUGCUCUAGCUUAGAAUCCGGUUGAUGAGGAAGACUUAAUAGUUCACAUAUUAGGACAGCUAGGUGACGAUUACACACACAUAGCCUCAGCUUCAAAGAUUCGUGAAACUCCUAUCAAAUACCCAGAUCUCUUUGAAAAAUUGCUUGAUCACGAAAGGACUCUGAAAGACACACAUACGUCCUCUGUUAUCACAACAGUCAACAAUACCCAAAAAUCCAACAAUCGAUAUUCAUCAAAAUCCUUCUAUGACAACCGCAAUCAACCUAAAUUCAACAACAACAACUCAGGCAACAAUUUUCGAUCCAACUCAGGCCCCAAUCGUUCGUCUGGUCAGUACAACGGAGGUAACAACUUCAACAGAGGUAAUAGAAACAAUAGCUACUGCCAAUUUUGCAAUAUCCCUGGACAUGAUACUAAAGAAUGCAGGAAGCUUACUCGGUUUCUUAGAGAAAACAACAUCAGUAUUAACACCUCUACCAAUCCCACAGUCAACUCUAUAGCAACUUCCUCCCCAACCACAGCAGCUCCAUGGAUGUUUGAUAGCGGGGCAUCUCAUCAUGUGGCAUCCACUCUAGCCUCAUUCCACACCCUGUCAGAAUAUGGCGGACCAGACGAAAUCGUGUUAGGAAACGGACCUACGCACGGGCACAAUUCUCAUGCGGGGCACAAACAUCAAUGAUGUCUACUCUGCAGCCAUUUGCUCCCUUCGUCAACUUCCAAGAGUUAACUCCACGGUCUCCUCAAGUAAGUCGGUCACCUCCUGGCACCAUAAGCUUGGUCACCCAUCGGUCAAGAUUUUCAAGUGUCUUCUAGCUCGUUUAGGACUCUCUUGUAAUAAACAUUCAGAUGUUUCUUUUCAUUGUGAUUCGUGCUCUAUAAAUAAAAGCCACAAAUUACCCUUUGGGCCAAAUUCUUUUACUGCCACCAAACCUUUGCAACUCGUAUAUUCUGAUGUUUGGGGACCGGUACAAACUUCCAACGAUGGUUUUUCCUAUUAUGUCACCUUUGUCGAUUUUUAUUCAAGAUACAUUUGGCUUUAUCCAAUGAAACAAAAAUCUGAAGUCUCCACCCUGUUUCCUCAAUUUCGCAGCCUAGUUGAAAAAUUCUACAAUACCCCUCUCAUCUCCCUCUUCACUGAUAAUGGAGGAGAGUUUCUCAAACUUGCCUCAUACCUCAAACAAAAUGGCAUUUCUCACUUCACUACACCACCUCAUACCCCUGAACAGAAUGGGAUUGCUAAGAGACGACACAGACAUAUAGUUGAAACCGGGCUUUCACUUCUUCAUCAUGCCAACUUGCCUCUCUCCUUUUGGACUCAUGCUUUUCAAACAGCAGUCCAUCUUAUAAACUGAAUGCCCACCCAAGUUCUUAAUUUCAAAUCUCCUUAUGACAAACUACACAAUACUCCACCCAUAUACAAGAAGCUAAAACCAUUCGGAUGUCUCUGUUAUCCGUGGUUGCGACCUUAAUCCCUAACCAAGCCUCAUCCCCGGUCUACAAAGUGUAUUUUCCUUGGCUACUCGAUCUCGAAAUCAGCCUACAAGUGUUAUGAACCCACUACUCACAAACUUUACCACUCCCUCCAUGUCGAAUUUAUUGAGCACAUUUUCCCAUACCAGAAUGAACCCGAAACUCCUCUGCCCAAACCGAAUGAGUUUUGCAUCUAUCUGAACCCAAAAAAUGAUAACACCACCAACUCAUCCAUCCCUCCCUGCUGCCCUACACCAUCUCCUACACAACAAAUACCCAUCCAAAUUCCAUCCAUACCCUCCACACCAGCUACACCAUCACCUAGUACACCAACAACCCAAAAACAACCAAUCUGAUCCAGCCUCACCUCAAACAACACCACAACAACCACCCUUAUCCUCACCUGCUCAGUCAUCCCCUUCCUCGGUUCAAUCCCCUAACCCUUCUCCUCCUCCAUCACCACCACCACCUCACCGACCUCGCAAACCUAACCCAAAGUAUUACAACAACAAUCUCGUAAACACUACUACCCUUCAUCCUAUACCACCUACCCUCGAACCUUCCACCCAAAAUCAAGCACUAAAAGAUCCCAAAUGGAGGAGUGCCAUGGAUUCUAAAUUCAAUGCACUUUUACAAAACCAAACUUGGGAGCUGGUUCCGUUAGCCUCUCACAAACCUAUUGGCUGCAAAUGGGUCUUCCGAAUAAAACGCAACCCAGAUGGCUCUAUAUCAAAAUACAAAGCCCGUCUCGUAGCAAAGGGAUUUCUUCAAAAAUAUGGGAAAGAUUAUUUUGACACGUUUAGCCCGGUCACCAAACCCGUCACUAUUUAAACAAUCCUCUCCAUAGCCUUAUCAAACAACUGGCCACUACGCCAACUAGAUGUCAACAAUGCCUUCCUACAUGGCGCAUUGCAUGAAGAAGUAUUUAUGUCUCAACCACCUGGAUACAUUCACCCUCAAUACCCGGAUCACAUCUGCAAAUUAAAAAAAAUCCAUUUACGGUCUCAAGAAAGCUCCACGAGCUUGGUAUAUUGAACUUGCCAACUUUCUCCUCACCUUUGGUUUUCGAAAAUCUCAAGCUGAUGCAUCUCUUUUCAUCUAUUCCCAUCAAACCAUCAUAUGCUACUUCAUGGUUUAUGUCGAUGAUAUUAUCUUAACCAGCAAUGACAACAAAUUCCUUACUCAUUUUGUCACCUCCUUAAGCACAAAAUUCUCUCUCAAAGAUCUUGGUAUGUUUCAUCAUUUCUUAGGUGUUGAAGUCACUCCAACUCCCACCGGUUUGUUUUUGUUCCAACAUAGGUAUAUCCAAGAGAUUCUAAAUCAAUUCCAUAUGGAAAGUGCCAAAUAUGUUACCACCCCCUAAGUGCCACGGAACCAUUGUCUCUCAUUGAUCAAUCACCCACUGUUGAUGCCACACCUUAUCGAAAAUUAGCUGGUUCUCUCUAAUACUUAGCUUUCACUCGUCCCGAUAUUUCACUUGCCAUAAAAAAACUGUCUCAAUUCAUGCACGCUCCUCGUCAAACUCAUUGGCAGGCCCUUAAACGCCUCCUUCGGUACCUUAAAGGUACCAUUCACCAUGGUUUAGUCCUUAACCGUAAUUCCUCACUCACGCUCUCGGCUUUCUCCGACUCUGAUUGGGGUGGAGUUCAUAGUGCAGGCCGAUCUACAAUAGCAUACCUGCUGUAUUUGGGUAUGAAUAUAGUGUCAUGGCGAUCGACAAGACAAAAGACUGUUUCUCGCUCUUCCACCGAGGCCGAAUACAAGGCCUUGGCAAAUGCUUCAGCAGAACUAAUUUGGCUCAAAAACCUCCCUCAUGAGCUAGGUGUGCCUACAACUACAUCCCCAACACUCUUCUGUGACAAUACAGGUGCCACGUAUCUUUGUGCGAAUCCUAUUUAUCACUCGAGAAUGAAUCAUGUGGCCCUAGAUUACCACUUUGUUCGAGAACAGAUUGCAUCAGGUCUUCUCAAAGUCCUUCAUGUUCAUUCACAAGACCAGCUAGCGGACAUGCUGACCAAACCACUUCCACGAGCACCGUUUCUGAAAAACAGAUCCAAUAUUGGAGUCUCCGAUGGAGCCUCCAUCUUGCGGGGGCGUAUUAAGGAUAUGAAGCCCAACAUACAAGACAACAGCCCACAUGAAACACAAUAGCCCACAACUUUGUAUCAUGUUUACAAUUCAUUACUCUGUAUAGUCAAUUGUAUAUAGUCAAUAGAUCCUAUAAUGUCUCCUAUAUGUACUCCUGUAUACUCGCUCAUAUUCAACUUGUAAUCUGCCUAUAUAUGGCGUGUGAAUUAUGGAAUGUAAUCAAGUCUUUCAAUCAUAUAA
Molecule: non-coding RNA, 4439 nt
Organism: Lactuca sativa (garden lettuce)
Lineage: Eukaryota; Viridiplantae; Streptophyta; Magnoliopsida; Asterales; Asteraceae
Source: RefSeq, a predicted model, not a curated record